AGAGAUGUAGUUCAGUGAUACAGCACUUGCCUAGUAUGCAUGAGGCCCUGGGUUUGAUUCCCAGCACCACAG
Molecule: transfer RNA, 72 nt
Filed under: Heterocephalus glaber (naked mole-rat)
Lineage: Eukaryota; Metazoa; Chordata; Mammalia; Rodentia; Bathyergidae
Rfam family: tRNA
About the family: Transfer RNA (tRNA) molecules are approximately 80 nucleotides in length. Their secondary structure includes four short double-helical elements and three loops (D, anti-codon, and T loops).
Source: Rfam by way of RNAcentral